This 253-nucleotide ribosomal RNA is filed under the name uncultured bacterium. Its description in RNAcentral is "partial 16S ribosomal RNA". It matches the Rfam family "Bacterial small subunit ribosomal RNA", at positions 524 to 776 of the family's 1533-position model. The record is from RNAcentral.
UACGGAGGGUGCGAGCGUUGUCCGGAUUUAUUGGGUUUAAAGGGUACGUAGGCGGCGUGUUAAGUCAGUGGUGAAAUCCUACGGCUCAACCGUAGAACAGCCAUUGAUACUGGCAUGCUUGAGUAUUGUUGAGGUAGGCGGAAUUUGUGGUGUAGCGGUGAAAUGCAUAGAUACCACAAGGAACACCAAAUGCGAAGGCAGCUUACUGGGCAAUAACUGACGCUCAUGUACGAAAGCGCGGGGAGCGAACAGG